UAGAUGGUGACUGGUGCACCUGCUCC
RNAcentral lists this non-coding RNA (26 nucleotides) under Homo sapiens (human). The record is from RNAcentral. Lineage: Eukaryota; Metazoa; Chordata; Mammalia; Primates; Hominidae.